This 955-nucleotide long non-coding RNA is filed under the name Gallus gallus (chicken). Lineage: Eukaryota; Metazoa; Chordata; Aves; Galliformes; Phasianidae. The record is from RNAcentral.
GGAAGCCAGAAGAAAUCUCCCUUUGUGCAUCUGACUCAUCUGUGGAGGAAAAGGGAAAGACUGGAAGAAGUAACAGUGAGAGGAAGAAAAACCAUGCUUAAGUUCCUAAAGAAGCAGCUUUUGUCCCAAUCCUCCCAUGCCACAGAUCACUACCAGGAAAAGAAGAGCAACUCUCUUCAUGGCGAGAGGAACUGACUGCGAUCCUUCAGCAAAAUGACCUGAAAAAGUGGAAGUAGUAAGCACCUGGCUGCUCUCAAUUUAAAGGCUUGGUGCACAAAGAAGCCUCUUUCCAGCUUCACGUGGGAUGGAUGUAAUUUUUUAAAAAUAUUUAUUUAAAUAAUAAAUCACCCUUCAGUAGGCAUGUACCCAUAAUUUAUAGCCUGAGGAAGUGCCGAAUAAGCUGUGAACUCCCAUGAAGGUAACAAGACAAAUCUUGUAAAUGCAGUUAAAUACAGAACGAUAGUUGUAUAACUGAGAAGCACAUUCCUAUCCAGAAUGAACAUGUCAUAUUUGAUUUUUAGCAGGUCUUUUCCAUUCUCCAGCUGCUUUAUAGCUAUCUUCAAGACAGAACUUGUAAUGCCAUUUUAAAGUAAAAAAGAUAAAACUUCCAAAACAAUCUACACGGCUGCAUCUGGGUGAUUAUGUACAUGUGAAUCUAAUGAGAUUCAACAAGGCCAAACGAAAGGUGUUGCACUUGGGUUUGGGCCAUCCCAGAUAUGUCUACAGACUGGAAGAAGAACUCACUGAGAGCAGCCCUGCACAGAAGGACUUGGGAGUCUUGAUGGCCAAAAGUUGGACCUGAGGCAGCAGCGUGCACUUGCAGCCCAAGAAGGCCAACAGUAUCUUGCGCUGCAUCAACAGAAGCGUAGCCAGCAGGGAGACCGAGGGGACUGUCUCCCUCUGCUCUGCCCUCAUGAGACCCCAAGUGCAGUACUGUAUCCAGGCCUGGGGCCCG